Molecule: long non-coding RNA, 2290 nt
Organism: Patella vulgata (common limpet)
Lineage: Eukaryota; Metazoa; Mollusca; Gastropoda; Patellidae
Exons: 9
Source: RefSeq, a predicted model, not a curated record
UUUUACUACGUCUUACGUGGUGAAUAGUUAUGUUGAUGGUAUAGGGGCACAUUAUAACCUCUACUUUGCGUAGGUGUAUAUAGGUAAUAAGCACUGAUAGUAUUCAUUGUGUAAAUCAGGGACAGAAUUAUAAGAUAAUAUAGGCGAUGUAUUCGAUGUAUAUAAAGCCUACCCCGUGACUAAGACCAUAGACAUCCUAAUUAGAAAAUGGGAAGAAAUCUUUGAUCAACGUUUGAAAAGUCAAUCAUAAAUAUGACAGAUGAGUGAAAAGAAUUACUGAAGGGUAAAGGGCAUUAUAUGUUGAUCUUAAAGCAAUGUAAGGUGCGUUCUUUUUUAAAUAAGAAAAAACGAGAUGACAAGUGACGAACCUGGAGCAAACUUCUACACAAGUUAUGAUUUUAUUUAUGAAUGCAUUUGGAUAUAAAAUGUAGACUUGUAAACUGGGAAAAGUAUAUGACAGGAAAUACUGUUGGAGGUUUUUGUGGUUGGAGUUUUUCAUUAGAAUCACAGAUUUAUCUUCUGGGGUGUAACUGGUAAAGACAUUAGUUAUUGGUGUUAAUACCAUUCUAUAUUGAGUGUUAAUCAGACGGUGAUAAGGUGUUAUAAUUGUUGUUGUUAAUUAGAUUGGAUGAAGACAUGACGAGGAAUUAAUGAAGCGGAUAUAGUGAUAAUAGAGAGAAACUUGAAGACCUUAUUUCCAUGGAGUGAAAAUUGUACAUUAUGUUAGUAUUAGUUAGACGAUGAUUAUAGAAAGUCAAUUCACGUAGACAGGGAACCAAUGCAAUAACAGUCCAUGUGUGAAAAAGAACGGUCUUUAUUUCAGACAUACAAAAUGUGAUGUGGUUCUGAAAUUGGGUAUAUUGCAAAAUGGAUGACAAGAGGUGUUUAAAGGCAUUCUGUAUACAGUUAGUCGUUCAUAAUUUAUUCAACUAAUACCAAAGAAUUAGAUAAACGUAAUAAUUAUUUCAUCAAAGUAUUAAAUACGAUGCCUUUAGUAGACAGAGAUUGUUGUGCCUCGUAUAAAGUGUUGGUAUUAGGGGAAGCAUCUGUAGGGAAGACUGCCCUAGUGAAUUGUUUGAUGGGUAGAGAAUUUAGAGAAAGUAUGGUGCCAACAAUUGGUGUAGAUUUUGUCAAGAAGAUAUUUGAAGUUGAUGGCGCAUUGAUACAGCUAGUCAUAUGGGAUACGGCAGGUCAACAAAGAUUUCGGACAAUAACAAGACUUCAAUAUAGAGGUGUUCAGGGUAUAGUUUUGGUUUACGAUGCAACAAAUCCCUCGUCGUUUUCUCAUUUAGCCUACUGGAUUUCGAGUGUACAUAAGGAGAUGAAACAGGCUCACAAUCAAUAUGAACCAAUACCAAUUGUUUUAUGUGGUAAUAAAAAUGAUUUAGAAGACAAAAAACUAGUCAAACGAUCAAAGGCAUAUGAGUUGGCACAGAAAGAGAUGGCAUUUGAAUUCUUUGAAACCAGUGCUAAAACAGGAAGUAACGUAUUUACGGCUUUUCAACGAUUGGCGUUUCACAUUACAGAUAUAUGUAAUCCCAAACUUAUGGUGUCCUACCAUCCUUAUAUGAUCAGGCGACUUGAAGACAUAGAACCUGAUUUACCUAAACAACAGAAAAACACAAAGAAAAAGAAUAAGAAGAAAUUCAAAGUAAAAAAGAUUAAAGAAGGCAAAACGAAGGAAGCCAAGAUACUGUCAGUAUCAAAGACUGAUAUCAAAGACAAUCCUAAACAAUGUGCUCCCUUUAAAGGUUUAUGCUGCCUACUACCACAAAAACAGGAACCAUCCUGACGGUUUCAUUAGUGUUACUCCUAGUGUGUAAAGCUCUACCAAAUACUGACGAUGCUGUAUAAACAAUUGCGACCACAAUCAAGGGAUGUGGUUUAAUAAGUUUACCUUUACAGCCACCACUUAAUUCAUAAAUUGAAAGUAUUGUACAGUAAAUAAAAUAUGUUACACAGAUUAUAAGAUUUCCUGAACUGUAAACUUCGGUAUCUGGAAGUCAAAGAAAGAGACAUAUAUAUUCUUUUUUGCGUUCAGACAAUUAAAGCCGGAUUGACACCACUUUAAGGUGUUUAUAUAAGAUCCUGAUACAAGGGAAAUGGAAUCUAAAAUGUAAAAGGAGUAUAGAAAUUCCUAUUCUGUCUCGAUAUAAAUAACAAUCUCGUAUCUAUUGAAUAAAUCUGAAUAUUUUCAUUUGGACUCACCGAAAUAGACUAUUAGACAAUUAUCAUAUAGAUAAAGGUAUAUGUAUGUCUGAAUACAGUCAUUUAUAUCAAAUUACUCUCG